GUAUUUAUAGUUUAACUAAAAACAUUAGAUUGUGGUUCUAAAAACAAAAGUUAAAAUCUUUUUAUCUACC
RNAcentral lists this transfer RNA (70 nucleotides) under Hemitriakis japanica (Japanese topeshark). RNAcentral's name for it is "tRNA-His". It matches the Rfam family "tRNA". From Rfam's summary of the family: Transfer RNA (tRNA) molecules are approximately 80 nucleotides in length. The record is from RNAcentral. Lineage: Eukaryota; Metazoa; Chordata; Chondrichthyes; Carcharhiniformes; Triakidae.